CCUACGGGAGGCAGCAGUGAGGAAUAUUGGUCAAUGGACGAGAGUCUGAACCAGCCAAGUAGCGUGAAGGAUGACUGCCCUAUGGGUUGUAAACUUCUUUUAUAUGGGAAUAAAAUAGUCCACGUGUGGGCUUUUGUAUGUACCAUAUGAAUAAGGAUCGGCUAACUCCGUGCCAGCAGCCGCGGUAAUACGGAGGAUCCGAGCGUUAUCCGGAUUUAUUGGGUUUAAAGGGAGCGUAGGUGGAUUGUUAAGUCAGUUGUGAAAGUUUGCGGCUCAACCGUAAAAUUGCAGUUGAAACUGGCAGUCUUGAGUACAGUAGAGGUGGGCGGAAUUCGUGGUGUAGCGGUGAAAUGCUUAGAUAUCACGAAGAACUCCGAUUGCGAAGGCAGCUCACUGGACUGCAACUGACACUGAGGCUCGAAAGUGUGGGUAUCAAACAGGAUUAGAUACCCUUGUAGUC
RNAcentral lists this ribosomal RNA (460 nucleotides) under uncultured bacterium. RNAcentral's name for it is "partial 16S ribosomal RNA". It matches the Rfam family "Bacterial small subunit ribosomal RNA", at positions 338 to 795 of the family's 1533-position model. The record is from RNAcentral.